Molecule: long non-coding RNA, 256 nt
Filed under: Elaeis guineensis (African oil palm)
Lineage: Eukaryota; Viridiplantae; Streptophyta; Magnoliopsida; Arecales; Arecaceae
Description: long non-coding RNA (EGUI_LNC008493)
Source: RNAcentral
GCAGCCGAACUAAGUGGGUUGUGAAAAUUGUAUUGCCCAUAUACAGCUUGGAGGAACUCGUGGACAAAGAUGUUUGGAGUCAGAGUAAAUUGAGGAUGUUUAGAAAUAGGUCUUGCAAGCGGUUUCCUUCAAACCAGCGGUCAGACCAAAAGAGAGUUCGUUCUCCAUUUCCUAUUCUGCUCUCUGUGCAUAUGUUUAACAGUGGGUGGACCUUUAGGAUACUUUUCCAUGAUUGGGAUGCCUUCGAAGGUCAUGG